Molecule: transfer RNA, 429 nt
Filed under: uncultured Alteromonadaceae bacterium
Lineage: Bacteria; Pseudomonadati; Pseudomonadota; Gammaproteobacteria; Alteromonadales; Alteromonadaceae
Description: partial 16S-23S ribosomal RNA intergenic spacer
Rfam family: tRNA (bases 88-160)
Source: RNAcentral
CCUCCUUACCAUUACGUCGAUAGACGCACUUGAUGCAGUGCCUACACAGAUAGUCUUGUUUAAAAAUGAAGAACGACACAAGUUUAUGGGGCUAUAGCUCAGCUGGGAGAGCGCCUGAUUUGCAUUCAGGAGGUCAGCAGUUCGAUCCUGCUUAGCUCCACCAUCUACUUGACACUGAGCUUGCAUAAGCGAAGUUUACUGAAGGCUUGUAGCUCAGCUGGUUAGAGCGCACCCCUGAUAAGGGUGAGGUCGGCAGUUCAAGUCUGGCCCAAGCCUACCAUUUCCUUGCUUUAAGAAAGGGAAGGUAACAAAGGUGGAAAACGUGUCACGUUUGGACCCCGAAAUCCUAAUGAAUAUUUUACUGGUUUCAGUAAAGCAUUGAUUAAGGGUUUUUUUACCCUGAAGGGAGCAUUUUACCAAUACUUUUAA